Vicia villosa (hairy vetch) is the source of this 1752-nucleotide long non-coding RNA. RefSeq lists it as uncharacterized. The record is from RefSeq and is a predicted model, not a curated record. The transcript is spliced from 3 exons. Lineage: Eukaryota; Viridiplantae; Streptophyta; Magnoliopsida; Fabales; Fabaceae.
UCAAACUCUUAUUCGGAAGUAUUAUAGUUCUCUGUUAAUAUUUUAGGUUAAAACUAUAACUACACUAAUACUUUUGUUUCCUCAUCUAAACAUAAUUUUAUGAUCUGUCUGUCUGUUUAAUGAGUUCCAUAAAGUUAAAUUUGCAAAUUGGAGUGAAGUGUUUACAGGAAUUUCAUUCAGUAGCCAUCACCUCAAAUUAUUUAGUUAGUAAUAGCACAAGGCUAACUUUACAUCAAUGCUAUAUUCAUGUAAUUUUUUCUUUACAAUUUUGUAUGUCUCAAGUUAUUUUCAUUAUUGAUUUCCAAGACAUUGUGUUAUAUUGGUCCUUUAUCUUGGAUGCUGUUGUGCUAUUUUUUUAGAAUUCUAUUGUUGAGUGAUAUUUUGUCCAUAAUAUACCCUAAACUACUAGGCCACAUUAUUAUUCCCUAAUACACUACUGUUUUUCUGUUGUUGUCUGUGAUGCAUAUAUGCAUGCCAAGUUGCAGAUAUGCAGCUAGACUCAAAUAAUCUCAGUGGCCGAAUUGGGCAGCGGUUCUUUGAAGUUUCUAAAUACAAGAUACCAUGAUGAUGGGCGCUGACUAUUAUCAAACACGAAAAAUCUUAGGUACAUAUGAGGGUGAUCGAUGAUGUUGAUCAUGUGUUUGCUGAGGAAGUGGAGAGUCCUAUUCCUAUUUGUGAAAGGGAUGUGGAGACUAUUGGAUUUAACCCCAAUGCUAGAGACAAACCUGUCUGCGAAAAUAGCUUUUAUUUAGAUAAGUUUAUAAUGAACAUGAAAUAACUUUAAAGAAUUAUUGUUAUAGUAUCUCUCUUGAAACUAAUAAACUGAUAGGAAAUUUGCAGGAAAGUCGAGAAUAUCGUAUACCAUUCUUGAAAUCAGUCUGUGAUCCUGUAUCUCUAACAUUAAAAAUGCCUAGAAUUUUUCAGGAAAGUCGAGAACGUCUUCGCUUUUAAGGGCUGAACAUGGAACUGUUAUGUUAGUCUAAGAAAUGGUUAGUCUAAAUUGCUAAGAUUAGAAUUCUGUCGAGACAUUUACGUAUUGAAUGUAUCUUUUGAACCAUACUACAGUGAGAGUAUUACUAAAGAAUUAUAUACAGAAGCUUUGUUGAUGAAGGGCAAGAGACCAAAACAACUUUGAAACCAUGACAAAGACAGAGUUUCUAACUCUCACUCAGAUUUGAAUUCCAGUGCUAAUUGAUCAAUGAGUUUGGAAACACGAGAGUGAAAGGCAUGAAGUGAUGAAGAACAUAAGUCUUGAUUUUGUUGAGGAUGACACUUGUGGUGUCUUGAAGGAGAGUUUUGCAAUUUUGUGUACUAGCGUUGAUAUUUUUCUGUCCAAAAUAAAUGAUUUCAUAUGAUAAUUAAAUAGUUUGAUUAAAAGAUUUGAAGAUCUUUCAUUUUAAAAUAGUAGGUAUGGUUUACGAAAGAAUAACCUUCAUCAAUGUCGUUGACGUUAUGAGUUUUUUAAAUUUGUGUAGCUGAGUUCAAUAGUCUUUAUAAGAAAUAAAAAAAAUUUCAUAAGUCAAUACUUCUUUUAGUUUGUUCAAGUUUGUCCAAGGUGGCUGGCUUAUAAGAAUUUCCACCAAUAUCAAUAGUGAUGUUUUAUAACAAAAUUACAAAACUAUAUAUAGGAAUAAUUCUAAAAAGAACUAUAAAAUAAUUCUUUUACUAAUAAUAUUGAUGUGGUUAGUUAUCAAUAAUUUUCAAACUUUCAACAUUUGAUUUUUGAAAUUAUCCACCAGUCAAGAAGGCCCA